AAUAGGAUGCCUGAGUAAAGGGUUACUUUGAUAGAGUAAAUAACGCAAUAAAUUGCUUCUAUUA
Molecule: transfer RNA, 64 nt
Filed under: Trypetoptera punctulata
Lineage: Eukaryota; Metazoa; Arthropoda; Insecta; Diptera; Sciomyzidae
Description: tRNA-Ile
Source: RNAcentral